ACAUCCGGCUGCGCGUGCGGGCCGAGUACUGCGAGCACGAGGCGGCGCUGCGGCAGAACGUGGCGUCGAACCGGGCGCAGCGCCUGGCGCGGCAGCUCGACCUCUUCGGCCAGGCGAGCACGGUGCUGAAGUCGCGCGACCUGGGCUCCAUCAUCUGCGACAUCAAGUUCUCGGAGCUCUCCUACCUCGACGCCUUCUGGAGCGACUACCUCAACGGCUCCCUGCUGGAGGCCCUCAAGGGCGUCUUCCUCACGGACUCGCUCAAGGAGGCCGUGGGCCGCGAGGCCAUCCGGCUCCUCGUCAACGUCGACGAGGACGACUACGAGGAGGGCCGCCGCCUGCUGCUCGACGCCCUCGGCGCCCCCUGAGCAGCCGCCUUCCCGGCGCUUCCUUCCGGCAGCACCGUGCUGCCCGCAGCCUUCCCGGCGUUUCCGGUGAGGACGAUGGUGCCCAGAGGCUUCCCGGCGCCUCCGGUGAGGACGAUGGUGCCCAGAGGCUUCCCGGCGCCUCCGGUGAGGACGAUGGUGCCCAGCGGCUCCAGGCGCCUCCCAGCAGCUCCCAGCAGCUCCGGUGAGGACGGCGGCUCCUGGUGCAUCCGGUGAGGACCGUGGUGCCCGGAGGCUUCCCGGYGCCUCCCGGUGCCUCCAGUGAGGACACUGGUGCCCGGUGGCUUCCUGGUGCCUCCCAGCAGCUCCCGGCACCUCCCAUGAGGACACUGGUGCCUAGUGGCUUCCCGGCACCUCCGGCCCCGGCAGCUCCCGGUGUGUCCGGUGAGGAUGGCAGCUCCCUGCACCUCCGGCAAGGCUGGGCGGCUCCCGGCGCGUCCGGCCCUGGUGGUGCCCCACUCCCUGUGUGUCCAGCAUCCGGCUGCUGGCGCUUCCCGGUGUGUCCAGCACCUGGUUCCUCACACAUCCAGCCCCGGCGGGUCCCAGCGGCUCCCGGUGCAUCCGGCGAAGAUGGCAGCUCCUGGUGCAUCCGGCGAGGCUGGUGGUUCCCAGUGUGUCCAGCACCCGAUUCCCCGCGCAUCCAGCCCCGGCGGGUCCCGACGCGUC
Molecule: long non-coding RNA, 1052 nt
Filed under: Apteryx haastii (Great spotted kiwi)
Lineage: Eukaryota; Metazoa; Chordata; Aves; Apterygiformes; Apterygidae
Description: lncRNA (ENSAHAG00000017092.1)
Source: RNAcentral